RNAcentral lists this long non-coding RNA (292 nucleotides) under Elaeis guineensis (African oil palm). RNAcentral's name for it is "long non-coding RNA (EGUI_LNC076418)". The record is from RNAcentral. Lineage: Eukaryota; Viridiplantae; Streptophyta; Magnoliopsida; Arecales; Arecaceae.
AUUAAAUUAGGAUUUCUCUAGAACCAAUGCAAUAGUUGUAGAUAGUCAAGUCCAUAUCUUUGAUUAGACCAAAUGGACCUUGAUUAUGGCUUAAUGAUUGAAUCCAAAUCAUUAGAUUGGUCAAAUCGAAACUAAUUAAUCAAUUGAUGUCUAAGAUAAGUUUGACAUUUCGAUCGAUGAUUUUUAAUUGAGGGUGAUUUAUCUGACUAUUUUGAUGGUGUCUAAGACAAGCUUAGCAAAUCCUUCCAUCAAUCUCACUUACCUGGCUAAUUUGAUGAAUUAUAUCUUGAUU